This 2731-nucleotide ribosomal RNA is filed under the name Vibrio parahaemolyticus. Its description in RNAcentral is "bacterial LSU rRNA". It matches the Rfam family "Bacterial large subunit ribosomal RNA". The record is from RNAcentral. Lineage: Bacteria; Pseudomonadati; Pseudomonadota; Gammaproteobacteria; Vibrionales; Vibrionaceae.
AACCGGGGGAACUGAAACAUCUAAGUACCCCGAGGAAAAGAAAUCAACCGAGAUUCCGAAAGUAGCGGCGAGCGAAAUUGGACUAGCCCUUAAGCUUUACACGCGUUAGACGAACGGUCUGGAAAGUCCGACGAUACAGGGUGAUAGUCCCGUAGUUGACGACGUGUGUUCAGUGAAAUCGAGUAGGGCGGGACACGUGAUAUCCUGUCUGAAUAUGGGGGGACCAUCCUCCAAGGCUAAAUACUACUGACUGACCGAUAGUGAACCAGUACCGUGAGGGAAAGGCGAAAAGAACCCCUGUGAGGGGAGUGAAAUAGAACCUGAAACCGUGUACGUACAAGCAGUAGGAGCAGGCUUUGUCCUGUGACUGCGUACCUUUUGUAUAAUGGGUCAGCGACUUAUAUUCAGUGGCAAGGUUAACCAUCUAGGGGAGCCGUAGGGAAACCGAGUCUUAACUGGGCGUUCAGUCUCUGGAUAUAGACCCGAAACCAGGUGAUCUAGCCAUGGGCAGGUUGAAGGUUGAGUAACAUCAACUGGAGGACCGAACCGACUAAUGUUGAAAAAUUAGCGGAUGACUUGUGGCUAGGGGUGAAAGGCCAAUCAAACCUGGAGAUAGCUGGUUCUCCCCGAAAGCUAUUUAGGUAGCGCCUCGGACGAAUACUACUGGGGGUAGAGCACUGUUAAGGCUAGGGGGUCAUCCCGACUUACCAACCCUUUGCAAACUCCGAAUACCAGUAAGUACUAUCCGGGAGACACACGGCGGGUGCUAACGUCCGUCGUGGAGAGGGAAACAACCCAGACCGCCAGCUAAGGUCCCAAAUUACUACUAAGUGGGAAACGAUGUGGGAAGGCUCAGACAGCCAGGAUGUUGGCUUAGAAGCAGCCAUCAUUUAAAGAAAGCGUAAUAGCUCACUGGUCGAGUCGGCCUGCGCGGAAGAUGUAACGGGGCUAAGUAGUAAACCGAAGCUGCGGCAAUGUGCUUUUGCACAUUGGGUAGGGGAGCGUUCUGUAAGCGGUUGAAGGUGUGUGGUAACGCAUGCUGGACGUAUCAGAAGUGCGAAUGCUGACAUGAGUAACGAUAAAGGGGGUGAAAAACCUCCUCGCCGGAAGACCAAGGGUUCCUGUCCAACGUUAAUCGGGGCAGGGUAAGUCGACCCCUAAGGCGAGGCCGAAAGGCGUAGUCGAUGGGAAACGGGUUAAUAUUCCCGUACUUCUUACAAUUGCGAUGGGGGGACGGAGAAGGCUAGGUGGGCCUGGCGACGGUUGUCCAGGUUCAAGUGCGUAGGCUUGAGAGUUAGGUAAAUCCGGCUCUUUUUAAGGCUGAGACACGACGUCGAGCCACUACGGUGGUGAAGUCAUUGAUGCCAUGCUUCCAGGAAAAGCCUCUAAGCUUCAGAUUGUAAGGAAUCGUACCCCAAACCGACACAGGUGGUCGGGUAGAGAAUACCAAGGCGCUUGAGAGAACUCGGGUGAAGGAACUAGGCAAAAUGGUACCGUAACUUCGGGAGAAGGUACGCUCUCGACGGUGAAGUCCCUCGCGGAUGGAGCUAUUGAGAGUCGCAGAUACCAGGUGGCUGCAACUGUUUAUUAAAAACACAGCACUGUGCAAAAUCGUAAGAUGACGUAUACGGUGUGACGCCUGCCCGGUGCCGGAAGGUUAAUUGAUGGGGUUAGACUUCGGUCGAAGCUCUUGAUCGAAGCCCCGGUAAACGGCGGCCGUAACUAUAACGGUCCUAAGGUAGCGAAAUUCCUUGUCGGGUAAGUUCCGACCUGCACGAAUGGCGUAAUGAUGGCCACGCUGUCUCCACCCGAGACUCAGUGAAAUUGAAAUCGCUGUGAAGAUGCAGUGUACCCGCGGCUAGACGGAAAGACCCCGUGAACCUUUACUACAGCUUGGCACUGAACAUUGACCCUACAUGUGUAGGAUAGGUGGGAGGCUUUGAAGCACGUACGCCAGUAUGUGUGGAGCCGUCCUUGAAAUACCACCCUUGUAGUGUUGAUGUUCUAACGUCGACCCCUUAUCGGGGUUGCGGACAGUGCCUGGUGGGUAGUUUGACUGGGGCGGUCUCCUCCCAAAGAGUAACGGAGGAGCACGAAGGUGGGCUAAUCACGGUUGGACAUCGUGAGGUUAGUGCAAUGGCAUAAGCCCGCUUGACUGCGAGAAUGACAAUUCGAGCAGGUGCGAAAGCAGGUCAUAGUGAUCCGGUGGUUCUGAAUGGAAGGGCCAUCGCUCAACGGAUAAAAGGUACUCCGGGGAUAACAGGCUGAUACCGCCCAAGAGUUCAUAUCGACGGCGGUGUUUGGCACCUCGAUGUCGGCUCAUCACAUCCUGGGGCUGAAGUCGGUCCCAAGGGUAUGGCUGUUCGCCAUUUAAAGUGGUACGCGAGCUGGGUUUAGAACGUCGUGAGACAGUUCGGUCCCUAUCUGCCGUGGGCGUUGGAAGAUUGAAGGGGGCUGCUCCUAGUACGAGAGGACCGGAGUGGACGAACCUCUGGUGUUCGGGUUGUGUCGCCAGACGCAUUGCCCGGUAGCUAAGUUCGGAAUCGAUAACCGCUGAAAGCAUCUAAGCGGGAAGCGAGCCCUGAGAUGAGUCUUCCCUGAUACUUUAAGUAUCCUAAAGGGUUGUCGGAGACUACGACGUUGAUAGGUCAGGUGUGUAAGUGCUGUGAGGCAUUGAGCUAACUGAUACUAAUUGCCCGUGAGGCUUAACCAUACAACACCCAAGGGGUUU